AACGAACGCUGGCGGCAGGCCUAACACAUGCAAGUCGAGCGAAUGUAGCAAUACAUGAGCGGCGCACGGGAGAGUAACACGUGGGAACCUACCUUUUGGUUCGGAAUAACGUCGGGAAACUGACGCUAAUACCGGAUACGCCCUAUGGGGGAAAGAUUUAUCGCCAUUAGAUGGGCCCGCGUUAGAUUAGCUAGUUGGUGAGGUAACGGCCCACCAAGGCUACGAUCUAUAGCUGGUCUGAGAGGAUGACCAGCCUCACUGGGACUGAGACACGGCCCAGACUCCUACGGGAGGCAG
This 297-nucleotide ribosomal RNA is filed under the name uncultured Pseudomonadota bacterium. Its description in RNAcentral is "uncultured proteobacterium partial 16S ribosomal RNA". It matches the Rfam family "Bacterial small subunit ribosomal RNA", at positions 29 to 351 of the family's 1533-position model. The record is from RNAcentral. Lineage: Bacteria; Pseudomonadati; Pseudomonadota.